UCUGAAUCUGCGAACGGCUCCGCAAACCAGUUGUAAGACACAGCAGUUCCGGGCCUAUCCCCUAGCUUCGCAGCCUGGGGGUAGCCCAUCUAUAUGGAUAACCCUGGUAAUUCUGAGGCUAAUACAUGACACAAACAAACUUCCGUCGCCAGGGCCCUCACGGGCCUAGGCGGUGGGAGGGCGUGCGAGUUAAGGCUUGGGUAAUCAGGACAGAACGCACGCACUGGACCGCCAUUAAGCGGGGUGGGGAUGGGCCUUCACGGGCCUGACCCUGCCCUGGCGGCUCCUGGGUAUCGCUUCUGACCUAUCAAUUAGACGGCAGCUUAUGGGACAUGCUAUGGU
This 342-nucleotide ribosomal RNA is filed under the name Comatricha pseudoalpina. RNAcentral describes it as "bacterial SSU rRNA". It matches the Rfam family "Eukaryotic small subunit ribosomal RNA", at positions 80 to 350 of the family's 1831-position model. Lineage: Eukaryota; Evosea; Eumycetozoa; Stemonitida; Stemonitidae. The record is from RNAcentral.